CGGGAGCGGCUCGAGGACGAACUCCUCCAAGAGCAGGAAUCCUAUUGGCCAUGCGAUGGCCGAUGGGGGCGAACACCGCCGCUGCAUCGACAUGCGACGACCGGGGGGCACUGAUGCUACCACGUCCCUGACGAGCGGGCUGCCAUAGGGGUGGGCAAUGGCACAAGAAGCCUACAGCGACGACAACUGCAAGAUUUCUAAGCUGGUCCUGCCAUUGAAGAUUCUCUGCCUGCGUCAAAUCAUGUGAGUCUCUGGUGGGUUGUGUUUCUUUUAUUUUGUUGAAUUUCUGCUUAAUUUCUUAUGAUUUUUUGUGUUGCCCAGUGUGUUCUUUGGAGAUCUUUACCUCCCAAAUCCUUCCCUGGUUGAAGGAUUG
This 373-nucleotide long non-coding RNA is filed under the name Sorghum bicolor (sorghum). RNAcentral's name for it is "long non-coding RNA (SBIC_LNC002088)". The record is from RNAcentral. Lineage: Eukaryota; Viridiplantae; Streptophyta; Magnoliopsida; Poales; Poaceae.